Long non-coding RNA from Gallus gallus (chicken), 703 nucleotides. The record is from Ensembl. NCBI's taxonomy places the organism in Eukaryota, Metazoa, Chordata, Aves, Galliformes, Phasianidae.
AAACAACCUAAGUAGGAGCAAGUGUGGCUAUGAAAGAGGAUGCUGAAUUCUUGCAUGCCGUACAAACACCUACAUCAUUUAAUCUGUUUAUAAAUACUCUCCAUGUAAAGAUCUAAGAGUACUUUACAGUACCAGUCAGUUUUUACAGGAUCCUAUUCGGGAAAGUGAUGUCUUACCAAAGCCACAUACAGUGGGUUUUGUAGAGUGUUGUUAAUCACAGUACAGCCAGCAGCAAUGCCAAAAAUAAAUGCUGCUUGGGUGAAAGCAUAGCAAGGAGCACAACGUCUGUGCUGAAGGGAGUGCUGUGGAGAACUAACUGCACCAGUGCCCAUCUGUCCAUGCUUGUCUGUCAGUUUGAAUUGUAUCACAGCGUGCAAAUCUUUUGGUUUGUAGUUUUUCUUUGGAUGUUGUGACACCACAGCUACAGUUCUGCAUUGUCAUGGAGGUUGAGGUUCGAGCCCACGGAGCUGUCCUCCAACGCAACGGUGCCCACGCACAGAUGCUGGCAGAAAGGUUUAACCCAUGGAGCAGCAUCCCCCAAAAGAAGGGCAGUGCUCUCGUGGGAGGGCAGUGAGGAGGUACCCAGAGCUGUGCAACACGUUCCCUUUUCAUCCAGUCAACAGAAGCUGCUUGUGUAAAGGUGAGCGGGGGAUGAGGUCAACCAGAAGCCAUACAGAAGCGAGUUGAACGCCACAUCUUGCAG